Trametes pubescens is the source of this 72-nucleotide transfer RNA. It matches the Rfam family "tRNA". Rfam says of the family: Transfer RNA (tRNA) molecules are approximately 80 nucleotides in length. Their secondary structure includes four short double-helical elements and three loops (D, anti-codon, and T loops). Further hydrogen bonds mediate the characteristic L-shaped molecular structure. tRNAs have two regions of fundamental functional importance: the anti-codon, which is responsible for specific mRNA codon recognition, and the 3' end, to which the tRNAs corresponding amino acid is attached (by aminoacyl-tRNA synthetases). tRNAs cope with the degeneracy of the genetic code in two manners: having more than one tRNA (with a specific anti-codon) for a particular amino acid; and 'wobble' base-pairing, i.e. permitting non-standard base-pairing at the 3rd anti-codon position. The record is from Rfam. Lineage: Eukaryota; Fungi; Basidiomycota; Agaricomycetes; Polyporales; Polyporaceae.
UCCGAUAUGGUGUAGUGGCUAACAUUAUCGCCUCUCACGCGAUAGCCCGGGGUUCGAUUCCCCGUGUCGGAA